AUGCCGGUGGACCUCCAAGAUCCAUCCAUGGCGGACGCCUCGACGCUCCACAUCGCCUACCUGGCCGCCACCGUCGACGUGCUCUUCGCGGGCAGCCUCCUUCGCUUCGUAGCCGUCCGCGCCAGCGAGGCCUGCCUCACCGCCCGACGCCUCUUCGCCGAAGCCGCCGGAGCAUUGGAGGCGAGCUACAGCCCCGCGGGCUGGAUAUGCAGUCCAUCGCCGCCGCAAAAGUUGCUGGCCCAGAUGGGGAGGGACUGGAUUGCGCACGGCGGCUCAGGACCAGGGCAUGGCGGCUCAGGGCGUCCGCGCCAUGGACAGAGGGCGGUGGGCGGGCUUCCGGCGGCGGCGGGGGCGGCAUGGUCGGCUGCGAGGGCGCCCGGCGGUUGCCUCCUCCCGAUUGGAUCGGGAGCAGGAUAUCGGGAGGAGGGGUUGAUUGCUUGCUAUUUUAAGAUCCAGGGGUGUGUACGUAAUAUUUUUGCUAAGACACCUCCUUACAAUCUGGCCCCACUUGUCAGAAAAUGA
This 522-nucleotide ribosomal RNA is filed under the name Triticum aestivum (bread wheat). RNAcentral describes it as "partial small subunit ribosomal RNA". Lineage: Eukaryota; Viridiplantae; Streptophyta; Magnoliopsida; Poales; Poaceae. The record is from RNAcentral.